GACGAACGCUGGCGGCGUGCCUAAUACAUGCAAGUCGAGCGAGCGGAACUAACAGAUUUACUUCGGUAAUGACGUUAGGAAAGCGAGCGGCGGAUGGGUGAGUAACACGUGGGGAACCUGCCCCAUAGUCUGGGAUACCACUUGGAAACAGGUGCUAAUACCGGAUAAGAAAGCAGAUCGCAUGAUCAGCUUUUAAAAGGCGGCGUAAGCUGUCGCUAUGGGAUGGCCCCGCGGUGCAUUAGCUAGUUGGUAAGGUAAAGGCUUACCAAGGCGAUGAUGCAUAGCCGAGUCGAGAGACUGAUCGGCCACAUUGGGACUGAGACACGGCCCAAACUCCUACGGGAGGCAGCAGUAGGGAAUCUUCCACAAUGGACGCAAGUCUGAUGGAGCAACGCCGCGUGAGUGAAGAAGGUUUUCGGAUCGUAAAGCUCUGUUGUUGGUGAAGAAGGAUAGAGGUAGUAACUGGCCUUUAUUUGACGGUAAUCAACCAGAAAGUCACGGCUAACUACGU
RNAcentral lists this ribosomal RNA (511 nucleotides) under uncultured bacterium. RNAcentral describes it as "partial 16S ribosomal RNA". It matches the Rfam family "Bacterial small subunit ribosomal RNA", at positions 28 to 506 of the family's 1533-position model. The record is from RNAcentral.